UGGGGAAUAUUGCACAAUGGGCGAAAGCCUGAUGCAGCGACGCCGCGUGAGGGAUGACGGCCUUCGGGUUGUAAACCUCUUUCAGUAGGGACGAAGCGCAAGUGACGGUACCUGCAGAAGAAGCACCGGCUAACUACGUGCCAGCAGCCGCGGUAAUACGUAGGGUGCGAGCGUUAUCCGGAAUUACUGGGCGUAAAGAGCUCGUAGGCGGUUUGUCACGUCGUCUGUGAAAUCCUAGGGCUUAACCCUGGACGUGCAGGCGAUACGGGCUGACUUGAGUACUACAGGGGAGACUGGAAUUUCUGGUGUAGCGGUGGAAUGCACAGAUAUCAGGAAGAACACCGAUGGCGAAGGCAGGUCUCUGGGUAGUAACUGACGCUGAGGAGCGAAAGCAUGGGUAGCGAACAGG
Molecule: ribosomal RNA, 409 nt
Filed under: bacterium
Lineage: Bacteria
Description: partial 16S ribosomal RNA
Rfam family: Bacterial small subunit ribosomal RNA
Source: RNAcentral